Molecule: microRNA precursor, 225 nt
Organism: Oryza rufipogon (brownbeard rice)
Lineage: Eukaryota; Viridiplantae; Streptophyta; Magnoliopsida; Poales; Poaceae
Rfam family: MIR812 microRNA precursor family
Source: Rfam
AAUAAGUGCAGUUUUGUAUUAUUCACGUUCAACGUUUGACCACUUCGUCUUAUUGACCACUCGUCUUAUUUAAAAUUUUUUUAUGAUUAGUAUUUUUAUUGCUAUUAGAUGAUAAAACAUGAAUAGUAUUUUAUGUGUGACUAAAUAUUUUCAAUUUUUUCACAAAUUUUUCAAAUAAGACGGACGGUCAAACGUUGGACACAGAUAUCUACGGCUGCAUUUAUU